Molecule: long non-coding RNA, 1290 nt
Organism: Rhineura floridana
Lineage: Eukaryota; Metazoa; Chordata; Lepidosauria; Squamata; Rhineuridae
Exons: 3
Source: RefSeq, a predicted model, not a curated record
UCUACAGGGAGUGGUCUCCUGUUCAUUCUCUAAGUCUGACUGAGGGGCCCCUGCUGUAUCUUGAACAUCUUCCAGUGAUGGGCGGUCUGAUGCUUCUUCUGGGCUAGGUCUGCUUAUUCCCUCUCCUGGGUCUGCUGUGACAAUCCUCUGUUCCUCAUCCUUCUCUGAGGAUUCAUCUGAUGAAGGCAUGACACCACUUUUUUUUAAAAUGCAGUUGCAAGCAAUGAUGUUGUCAGGACAAGUUUUGUGGCAGAAAUCUAGAGCCCCUUUCAACAGAUUGAACAAAUGAGCCCCCAAACAAGAAUAAAUGUUGCAGUGUCUCAAAAAUGUGGUUUUAAAAAUAUUUAAUGAAGAUAUGGCAGCUUCAAAAGAUUUUCUGUGAGCCAGCUUGAAUGAUGAUGAGAUCAGAGCUUAUCAGUGUCUGGAAUGCAAGGAACAGAUAUGGAACCAGAAGAAAUUACUACAGGAGUGAAAGGAAACUGCUUUCAUUUAAAACCGUGCCAGACCAAUGUUCUGUUUGUGGUGCAAAUUGCGGUUAUGUGUGUGAGAGAGAGAUAUUUUCUGCACAUAAAUCUACUAUGUUAAUAGAAACAAAGUUGUCCUUUCUUACUAGUUCAACAUGAACAAGCCAGUUCAGCAUGAGUAGCUUUGGCGGAAGGAUGCAGGAAUAUCUGCAUCUCUCCACAGACCGCUUCAAUCGGGAAAAUCUGCGAGCCCAGGCUUACGUCCUGUCUCACUGCCAUAAAGAUAACAUGAAAGGCCUGAGAGCUCCUUCCCUGAAAAGAAGACUGGCAUGCAGCUUGAAAGUUCGCCUGUACUGUUCACCAAUGACAAAGGAGUUGCUACUAACUAAUCCACGUUACAAAUUUUGGGAGAAUCACAUUGUUUCCCUUGACGUUGAAACUCCAACACAAAUUUCUCUGGUUGAUGAAGCAUCUGGUGAGAAAGAAGACAUAGUUGUGACACUUCUGCCAGCUGGCCAGUGCCUAGGAUCAGUCAUAUUUCUAUUCCAAAGUGAACAUGGCACUGUGUUGUAUACCGGGGAUUUCAGACUUGCUAAAGGAGAAGUGACCCGAAUAGAACUCUUGUAUUUAGGGAGCAGAGUGAAAGACAUCCAGAGCGUGAACUUGGAUACCACUUUCUGUGAUCCCAAAUUUUAUCAGAUACUAGUGAAUAAUGCAUGAGGGGGUGUAUUAGUACGAAGCUGGAUCUCCCUUAGUCCCUAUCAUAUGGUAUGGCUGAAUUGCAAAGCAGCUUAUGGAUAUGAGCAUUUAUUCAUAAAUCUCAGUG